AGAGUUUGAUCCUGGCUCAGGAUGAACGCUAGCGACAGGCCUAACACAUGCAAGUCGAGGGGCAGCACAAGGAGCAAUCUGAGGUGGCGACCGGCGCACGGGUGAGUAACACGUAUGCAACCUGCCUGUAAGCGGGGGAUAACCCGUUGAAAGACGGACUAAUACCGCAUAAUACUGGAGAUCUGCAUGGAUAUUCAGUUAAACAUUUAUGGCUUACAGAUGGGCAUGCGCAUGAUUAGAUAGUUGGAGAGGUAACGGCUCCCCAAGUCAACGAUCAUUAGGGGUUCUGAGAGGAAGGUCCCCCACACUGGUACUGAGACACGGACCAGACUCCUACGGGAGGCAGCAGUGAGGAAUAUUGGUCAAUGGGCGCAAGCCUGAACCAGCCAUCCCGCGUGCAGGAAGACGGCCCUAUGGGUUGUAAACUGCUUUUCCGGGGGAAGAAUAACCGCCCUGCGGGGCGGGAUGCCGGUACACCGGGAAUAAGGAUCGGCUAACUCCGUGCCAGCAGCCGCGGUAAUACGGAGGAUCCGAGCGUUAUCCGGAUUUAUUGGGUUUAAAGGGUGCGUAGGCGGGAUAAUAAGUCAGUGGUGAAAGUUUGCAGCUUAACUGUAAAAUUGCCGUUGAAACUGUUAUUCUUGAGAGUAGAUAAGGUAGGCGGAAUGUGUUGUGUAGCGGUGAAAUGCAUAGAUAUAACACAGAACCCCGAUUGCGAAGGCAGCUUACCGGGCUACAUCUGACGCUGAUGCACGAAAGCGUGGGGAUCAAACAGGAUUAGAUACCCUGGUAGUCCACGCAGUAAACGAUGAAUACUAGCUGUAUGCGAUAUACUGUAUGUGGCAAAGCGAAAGCAUUAAGUAUUCCACCUGGGGAGUACGUUCGCAAGAAUGAAACUCAAAGGAAUUGACGGGGGCCCGCACAAGCGGAGGAACAUGUGGUUUAAUUCGAUGAUACGCGAGGAACCUUACCCGGGCUCGAACGGUGCAGUAAUAUGGUAGAGAUAUCAUAGCUAGCAAUAGACUGUAUCGAGGUGCUGCAUGGUUGUCGUCAGCUCGUGCCGUGAGGUGUCGGCUUAAGUGCCAUAACGAGCGCAACCCUUGUCGUUAGUUACCAUCAAGUAAAGUUGGGGACUCUAGCGAGACUGCCACCGUAAGGUGUGAGGAAGGGGGGGAUGACGUCAAAUCAGCACGGCCCUUACGUCCGGGGCGACACACGUGUUACAAUGGGGGGUACAGCGGGCAGCUACCUGGCGACAGGAUGCUAAUCUCUGAAAGCCUCUCUCAGUUCGGAUCGGAGUCUGCAACUCGACUCCGUGAAGCUGGAUUCGCUAGUAAUCGCGCAUCAGCCAUGGCGCGGUGAAUACGUUCCCGGGCCUUGUACACACCGCCCGUCAAGCCAUGGAAGCCGGGGGGACCUGAAGUACGUAACCGUAAAGGAGCGUCCUAGGGUAAAACCGGUAACUGGGGCUAAGUCGUAACAAGGUAGCCGUACCGGAAGGUGCGGCUG
Molecule: ribosomal RNA, 1506 nt
Filed under: uncultured candidate division WWE3 bacterium
Lineage: Bacteria; candidate division WWE3
Description: bacterial SSU rRNA
Rfam family: Bacterial small subunit ribosomal RNA
Source: RNAcentral